GAAGGUGACAAAGCUCUGAAGGUCCUGCCAACUCUCCUUCCCCCAUCAGCAAGACGAAGGAAAAGUCUUCAGACCCACCACCGAGGAGUCCCACAGGUCAUUUAUUGAUAUGCAGCCUAAACACCUUUCAAAAACUCACACGGAUGUUCAUUCCUGACCAGGACAACCAGUCAUCCGCUGGCCACUGAGCAACUACACGAAGCAGCUGGAUGCAACUGUGAGCUCUGCCUUGGAGUCCUUUCAACCAGCCGGUUCACUGCACAGGGUCCCAUCAGUCCACAACAGGAUGCCACAGAGGGAAUUGGAAUCAUAAAAACGCUGUUCAGCCACUAUUGGUUGUUGUGAACAGAAGGUCAGACAACAGGCAGAGGGAUAAAGAUUGGAGUGAGUUGGCAGUCAGGAGAAUCUCAUCUGACAGGAUGGACCAACGCACACCAGCCCCACCACAACUUUCCACUGACACACUGCAGAAUCAGGUCCAUCGUCUGCCAUAAAUUAGACCUAACGUGUGUAUAUAGGUGCUAAUGGCCAAUUUUAUUAACCACACGUACCGAUGAAAAUAACAUAAUAAUAUGAACUUUUACUGAUUCUGAUAAACAUUUUUCCCUCCAGAGAGGUCAGAGGUCAGGUUAGUGAUAGCGCAGUAGUUUCCUUGUAGCUGCUAAAGUGUCUAUUUGAAGGAUACUGUGAAAUGACGGAUGCUUUUUCAACUGGAAAUUAAGCAAAUAUAGAAGGAUGUGCAGAUAAUAUGGGUUUAGGGAAACAAAUUAAUUAAAAUUGAUUACUUUAAAGACACUUAUAAAUAAAAUAAAUUAAA
Molecule: long non-coding RNA, 817 nt
Organism: Seriola dumerili (greater amberjack)
Lineage: Eukaryota; Metazoa; Chordata; Actinopteri; Carangiformes; Carangidae
Exons: 4
Source: RefSeq, a predicted model, not a curated record